RNAcentral lists this long non-coding RNA (1121 nucleotides) under Oncorhynchus mykiss (rainbow trout). RNAcentral's name for it is "lncRNA (ENSOMYG00000071406.1)". Lineage: Eukaryota; Metazoa; Chordata; Actinopteri; Salmoniformes; Salmonidae. The record is from RNAcentral.
GAUGAUGGAAGAGGAGGAGGACAGGGGUCUCAGUGUCCAGGGUCAAGUGUCGUCACCUAUUUUGGAUCUUCUGCUGGUAUCAGUUGUGUUAACCUCCUGCUUGGCUGCUUGGCCCUCUACACUUCUUUAACAGCUGCCCUUCUCCACUCCCAGGACUCAGUAGAUGAUGUUCCUCAAGCUUUCUCCUCAUGCUUGAAACAGACAUGGAUUCAUCCUAAUGCUGUCUCUCAAGCUCAAAUUAUGUCCAAUGUGGCAAAAGUUUUUUCAGUGGCAGUGCUAAUGAAUCAAUGUGUUAUCGUUUGUCAAGCUGAGAGAGAGAGACACUUUGGUCAUUUGUAAAACAGUGCAGAAACAUUUGCUGCAGAACAUUAGAUCAGCACACAGAUACAACCAGAGUCAUAUGCCAGAAGACUCCCUCUCAUCCCCCACUGGGAAUAGUAACAGAGAAGAUCCUGUUGAAACCUAUGGAGGAAUGUUCUAGCCCAAGCAAUACACCGCCAGGAGAUGUUCCAGAGGGUGUUCAUUGAUCUGCUGUGUUGACAGGUGGCAGAGCUACACCGACUGACUCUUGCAAUUAUGCUCUAGGUAAAUAGGACAGACAUCUUGUCCCUCUCUAUGGUCUGUGUCCCCAGGAUUGCUGUGGGGCCUCUGGCUGCUUCACGCUGGAGACAUUAACUUUAUGUUCCUCAGCCCGGCUGACCUAAACUAACCCCACUCCAGCCUCCGCCCUAUAGCCAUCCAUCCAUCUCUCCCUCUCUCAUUCAGUCAGUCAUUGAGGCAGAACAUGGCUUCAGACAGCAGCCUGGUAGGGGGUCCAUGGCCACUGGUUGCUCUGACUUGCACUAUACAAGUACUACAGUAUACCGUGGUGCUUGGUGGGCUGUAGUUCUGUGGAAUGCCUGUGGAAUGCUGUUACUCCUGCUGGCUCAGAUACGAUAGCGGGAUUUUCUUGCUGUUGUGAUCUUAUAUCGGUCCGCAGAUGUUGAACUACAUGUUUUACUCCUUCCCUGUCGAGGUUCUGGGCUCGUAUGAUAUGCUUUGUAAAGCUGUUCGAGGGAAGGCUUGUACUGAAUUGACUGGAAAUGUUUACAGGUUGGUGAUGAGAUAGACACAGCCAUCAG